GCGCGAAAACUUUGCAAUGCUGGCAACAGCGAUAAGGGAACCUCGAGUGCCAGGUUACAAAUCUGGCUGUCGAGAUGCCUAAAAAGCAUUGCAUAGCAAGGGCCGGGCAAGACCGGUGCCAGCCGCCGCGGUAACACCGGCGGCUCGAGUGGUAACCGUUAUUAUUGGGUCUAAAGGGUCUGUAGCCGGCCGGAUAAGUCUCUUGGGAAAUCUGGCAGCUUAACUGUCGGGCUUUCAGGAGAUACUGUCUGGCUCGAGGCCGGGAGAGGUGAGAGGUACUUCAGGGGUAGGGGUGAAAUCUUGUAAUCCUUGAAGGACCACCAGUGGCGAAGGCGUCUCACCAGAACGGACCUGACGGCAAGGGACGAAAGCUAGGGGCACGAACC
This 386-nucleotide ribosomal RNA is filed under the name uncultured prokaryote. RNAcentral's name for it is "bacterial SSU rRNA". It matches the Rfam family "Archaeal small subunit ribosomal RNA", at positions 339 to 725 of the family's 1478-position model. The record is from RNAcentral.